CAUGGCUGUCGUCAGCUCGUGUCGUGAGAUGUUGGGUUAAGUCCCGCAACGAGCGCAACCCUUGCCACUAGUUGCUACCAUUCAGUUGAGCACUUUAGUGGGACUGCCGGUGACAAACCGGAGGAAGGUGGGGAUGACGUCAAGUCCUCAUGGCCCUUAUGACCAGGGCUUCACACGUCAUACAAUGGUCGGUACAGAGGGUCGCUAACCCGCGAGGGGGUGCCAAUCUCACAAAACCGAUCGUAGUCCGGAUUGCACUCUGCAACUCGAGUGCAUGAAGUCGGAAUCGCUAGUAAUCGCGGAUCA
This 306-nucleotide ribosomal RNA is filed under the name Chitinibacter sp. Expt2_P1WS_F06. Its description in RNAcentral is "bacterial SSU rRNA". It matches the Rfam family "Bacterial small subunit ribosomal RNA", at positions 1044 to 1351 of the family's 1533-position model. The record is from RNAcentral. Lineage: Bacteria; Pseudomonadati; Pseudomonadota; Betaproteobacteria; Neisseriales; Chitinibacteraceae.